AACUUCUCAAAGCCCAGUUGGUCUUGCAUCGACUCGGGACUUUGGACUGUGAGGGUUGCCGGUCUUUAAUCGGAUCGGACUCCCUUUAAAUGCAUUAGUGGUUACCGAUCCGCUUCCACUUGGUGUGAUAGUAUAUCUACGCCUUUGGGAAUGAUCAGUUGUUAUUCCGCUUCUAACCCGUCUGACCUUGGUCGGACAGCUCUUUGACC
Molecule: unclassified non-coding RNA, 209 nt
Filed under: uncultured Porotheleum
Lineage: Eukaryota; Fungi; Basidiomycota; Agaricomycetes; Agaricales; Schizophyllaceae
Description: sequence contains ITS2
Source: RNAcentral